CAUAGGCUAGCCUAAAAGAUCAACCCCUGUUUGUCUCAAUUAAAUCUUUAAUCCGGUGAAACUGCUAACGGCUCAUUAAAGCCCUGAUUGUUUAUUUGAUGGCCACUCUUCCAUGGAUAACGGUGGUAAUUCUAGAGCUAAUGCAUGCACCAAAACCCGACUUCGCAAGGGUUGUGUUUAUCUAUACAGAACCAUCCCAUGCUCCCCAGGGUUUUGUGGUGACUCAUAAUAACUCGAUGAAUCGUAUGGCUGCUCUGACGACGCAACCUUCAAGUUACGGACCUAUCGCGCUUCCGACGGAUGGGUAUUGGCCUACCGAGUCACUGACGGGCAACGGAGAAUAAGGGUUGGAUUCCGGACAGGGAGCCUGAGAAACGCCUACCACAUCUAAGGAAGGCAGCAGGCGCUCAAAUAACCCAACCCUGACACAGGGAGGAAGGGCCAAGAAAUAACCUAACAGGGCAAUACUGACUUGUACUUGGAAUGACUGGAAUUAAAAUCUCU
RNAcentral lists this ribosomal RNA (504 nucleotides) under uncultured eukaryote. RNAcentral describes it as "bacterial SSU rRNA". It matches the Rfam family "Eukaryotic small subunit ribosomal RNA", at positions 25 to 534 of the family's 1831-position model. The record is from RNAcentral.